UCGGGAAUUUUGGGCAAUGGGCGAAAGCCUGACCCAGCAACGCCGCGUGAAGGAUGAAGUAUUUCGGUAUGUAAACUUCGAAAGAAUAGGAAGAAUAAAUGACGGUACUAUUUAUAAGGUCCGGCUAACUACGUGCCAGCAGCCGCGGUAAUACGUAGGGACCAAGCGUUGUUCGGAUUUACUGGGCGUAAAGGGCGCGUAGGCGGCAAUUCAAGUCAUCUGUGAAAUCUCCGGGCUUAACUCGGAACGGUCAGAUGAUACUGCUUUGCUAGAGUGCAGAAGGGGCAAUCGGAAUUCUUGGUGUAGCGGUGAAAUGCGUAGAUAUCAAGAGGAACACCUGAGGUGAAGACGGGUUGCUGGGCUGACACUGACACUGAGGCACGAAAGCGUGGGGAGCAAACAGGAUUAGAUACCCCAGUAGUCCCUGAGCGGGCUGGCAAGGCGCAU
RNAcentral lists this ribosomal RNA (447 nucleotides) under uncultured bacterium. RNAcentral describes it as "bacterial SSU rRNA". It matches the Rfam family "Bacterial small subunit ribosomal RNA", at positions 355 to 825 of the family's 1533-position model. The record is from RNAcentral.